Molecule: long non-coding RNA, 1071 nt
Filed under: Homo sapiens (human)
Lineage: Eukaryota; Metazoa; Chordata; Mammalia; Primates; Hominidae
Description: long non-coding RNA NONHSAT152815.1
Source: RNAcentral
CUGCUGUUGCCAUCAUGAAAUACUUACUUUUAUCUUUGGACCUGUGUGUUGUCCGAUGGGAGUGGAGGAGAUGCACGCAAUAUGGGUGGCUCCUGUUCUUGAUGCCUCAUUUGCAUACAGUGUUCACAGUGCUCCAUGAGCACAGAAUUCCGAUGGGUCCACAACGAAAGGGACUUUAUGAUACUGAAAGCAAGCAUGAGGUACUGUGUCAGGAAGGUACUGGGCCAAAUGAUGAAGACUUGACUUUAUGGAACUGACAGUCGAGUGGAAAAGGAACAUUUGAUCUGGGCUUGAUAAAUGGACACACAGAUGAAGGAAGAAACAAAUGAAGUAUGGCACCUAUGAAGGCUGGAGCUGGGCCUGCUCUACUGUUGUCAGUGAGAAACCAACUGGUAAAGAAACCAGCCAAGGCAAUGUGAAGGAUUCCAAGAGAGGCAAUAUGGAUGAAACCAUUUAUUAGAUUUAUAAGAGCUGAAGGAAAGUGGUAAAGCUAUCCAUCUUCUAUACUUUAUUGAGAACAGGACCAAUGACUCAGACUAUCAGGACAGUAUCUCCAAGACAGAAUUGAAAUCCUAAAGUAAGCAGAGAAUAAGUGCAUACAUUUUAGGAGAAGAGGGAUCAAAGGCAGAAGGAAGAAAUGCAGGGGUGUCAGCUGUGACCCUCGAAGGAAAGGGAUCACCCUCUUUCUGACCCUAUACCACCUUCAGCAGGGAUGAAGGCAGUCAGAGAAAACUUAGUUAAAAGAUUUCUAAACUGCUUUGCUGAUUUGAUCUGGGGCCCUGGAGUGCCAACAUCCUGUGAUAGCGGCUGAUUGUUGAUGCCUGGGAGGAUACAGCAGUGACGAUCCAAAUUUACAAGACUCAACAUGGUUUUCAAAACUUCCUUUUAAAAAAGAUGUUCCUGAGUUCUGGAAUCUGAACAAAAUAUGUCUGGUUAUUAUAUAAUUCUAAUGGUCCUUGUGGAUGCUACCAUUAGAGUUCAGUUAGUGUCUCAUCUAUCACUGUAAUAUUUGUAUUGUAACACUAAUCGUGGCAAAGUAUGAUUUGAUAAAUGCUCAUUCUCAAAUCUUUU